UCAUGUAUGCUUUGAUCCGUAUGUUCUCCCAAUAAAUCUCUAACAGAGUAUUUGCCAUUAUUAUUAUUAUCUGUGGCGGUGAAAGUUGGCACGUUUUCAGGAAUAGAUCAGUAUGACAGGAACUAAUGUUGGUAAUUCAGGAGUUUUUGUCCCUUUUGACGUCAGAUGGGUAAAUAAUAGAGGAUGCUUAGUAAAAAUGUUCAUUGAUAUAACUUCAUAUGUAUAUAUACAUAGUCUACACUUCGUCGCAUUCUCGGCCUCCAGAGCUACCCACGUCAGCAAGAAAUUAUGGUCCGUCGGAUUGAGCAAUGGAUGGUUGGAUUGUUCAUUCCCCAACUUACUUGCUUUCCAGAGCUCUCGCGAACAUCGGCUUGGUUCCCCUUCACCCUCUGCUCUCACGAUCCCGGCGAGCGCGCCCGCAGCGGAGUCGCCCCGACCCCAUCCUGUCACGCGCGCCGGAUCCGGCUACCGUCCCAUCGAUUGCACCUGAGUCGGAGCCGCCCGCGCUGGAGUUGCCGCCAUCCGCGUCAGAGCCGCCCGCACCGGAGCCACCUGGCGUCAACGUCGUGCCUCCAGCUUUUGGAGACCCAACCACCACCGCUCCACUUGCGCCUCCAGCGUGGGUCAGUCGGACGAUCGUGCAACCGGCGCCGGAGAUCCCCUCUUCCCCAGGCCGGUUUCCUCUCUCUCUCUCUCUCUCUCUCUCACACACACACACACACACACUCUUUCUUUCUCUCUCUCUCUCCCUAUCUGUGCCGCAAGAAAACAACUCGGAUCGAAGGAUUGGGUCUUUCUUUUCCGUCGCAGCUCGAGUUGUGCCUCGAGCCAGCCAGUAGAUCUGUGAAGGUGUCGCCGCCGGAGAUCCCGUGUUCCCCACCCGGACUUCACUCCCUCCCUCUCUCACUUUCACUCUCUGCCGCAAGAAAACAAGGAUCGAAGCUCGCUGUGUAAUGCAUUAGUCUGCCGAUGAUCAGGCCGCGCGGUCGUCGUGGCUGUUUCUUCGCCCCUGCUCAUAGUGGCUCGUGCACCCUGUCCCGCUGACGAGCUCACGCUAGCCUCCGGAUGCGGUUUGUCGGACGGGGCAGAGGCCGCUAUCUGGUUGGUUGGGCGUAGUAAAUCUUAUUCAAUUAUCUACGUUGUCAUUAGUCUGGUAGAAUAUGAUCUUACAGAACUCAAGUAACUACCAGCAUAUGAGCUAAUGGAUGUAAAGCUUGUGUUGGUUUCUGUCAGCACUAUGUUUCCAGUGAGUCACUGAGAUGCAUGUUCAGUUCAGGCAUUCUGGGGCAGACCCUCGAAAUAAUCCAAAGAAAAAGUUUCUGCCGAGGAGGAAGUAACAAUCUACAAGAAAACAACUCAGAUGCAAGCUUGUUUGAGUAAUGGUACAUACAAGGACACUCCUGGCUAUCUUGGUUGGCUUCAUCACAUGGACUGAGCUUUGGGUUCAUUGCUCUGUUUGAAUAUGGAUGCAAAAUUACAGAACUCACGUGAGACAACAAGAUGAGAAAUUUGGAAGAGUUUGAAUAUACAAUUAUGAUGUUAGCAUGUAAUUCUAUCUUGGCGUUGAAGUUUCAAUUGGUUUUUCUUUCCUACCAUAAGAAGUGAAAACUCCUGCCUUUUGCUAUCGAUCAAAAUUAAUCUUGGAAAUGUUUCUUACAUUUCUAUAUACACUUUCAUUCUACAAAUACCGAACUUGGCAACAGUUCCUAAAAAUAACAUCUCCUUAUCUUUUCUAUAAUAUUAUCUUUACUUCAUGUGAAUGCACUAUCAAAUAAUAUAGUUGAGUACCAUCUUUACUUUAACUAAGACUUCCACUUGCAUAAUCUAUUUGUUUUGUGGAUCAGUCAACUAUAUAGUUUUUUUCACUGCCUAUACAGGUAAAUAUUAUCCACAUGUCCCUGUAACAUCUUAUUUUUCUGUUAAUUAAACAUGUGGAUAUUAGUCUAGAGCUCAAAAGGGUAAACUCCAUAAAAAGAUUCAAAAAAAUGUUGUCAUUUAUCUGAAAUAUUAUAAUACUUAACAUUAGACUGUUAUAGAAGCAUAUAGUCGCAAUCGCUACAGCUAUUCUUACUAUUUUCCUUUAGAUCUCAUUUAAAAAAUGUAAGCCAGUAGAUUUACAAGAUUAUCUAUCUGUAAUAGUUUCUCCUUCGAUGAUUCAGAUUACAAAAUGCUUAAUUAAACUGUGUUCCAUCAUGUUUUAUUUCAAUCACAGCAUGAACAUCUUCACUACCAUUUUACUUAUUUUUUUAUUUCCUUUUCUACCAUGUUGCUUAGACUAAAGAACAAACUGGUGGUCAUUUUUUACUAACACAAGAAUCUAAAGAGAAACACCUUCGGUUGGAACAGUACGUAUUUUAUCACAUCUAUGAUUGUUAGAGUCAUUCAAUGCAAUGAUAUAGAUUCAUGAGUAAUCAUGAUCCUGCAUUAGUAUGGCACUUUGGCAUAUAUAUUCAGCUACCUUUUUAAAUAUUAUUACUUUUGAAAAUACAUUAGACUACAUUUUUACUCACACAGGUUAUUAUAUUUGUUUAGUCCAACUACAACCUACAACACAAAUUGUGCAUACUAAAUCUAUUUCUAUAGGUUAUUCCAUUUGCAUUUACAAAGGACUUUAAUGGUACUGUGCCAAGGAUUAUUGAACUUCAUCCACAUGGCGGCCGUAUUUUCCAAGUGCAAAUAUCAAAGAACAUAGACACUUUAAUCCUACAUUCUGAAUAAAAAUCAUUUGUUCAAGCACAUGAGUUAGCCCACAUAGAUAUGCUUGUAUUUGAAUAUGACAAUGAUUCCCGUUUUAAAUUCACCACCCUUGAACAAACUGAAGAUGAGAAGAUACCACCAUAUCUUCUACCAAAAAUUCUAUCUCCCCAUCAUGGACAAUGCUCCAAACAAAGAGGUAACAUACUAUACAUAAAUAUUUUUCAUUGAGAUUAUAAAAAAAAUAUCAAUCUGACAAAUAUCAAUCAAAGUCAUGAAGAUGAUAACGACGCCAACUCAGCCACAUAGAAGGAAUCACUGCUAUGUUUCUGAAUUAUAAAUAUAUCAUUGCUAUUUCAUUACUUGGAACAUCACUACACCUGCCUAUAAUAUGACCAUAUUAUUUCACGUACUACAAUAUGAACUUACCAUUCAUGUUUAUGAUGUUCCCUAAUGUCAUUAUUAGGGAACAUUAGGGAACUCCUGUUCUUACUCUACCUGCUCACUAUUGUCUUGGUUGUAUGAUGUUCCCUAAUGUCAUUAUUGUUGGAACAGAUGUCCCUACGUGUGACACUUUUUUGGGGUAAAUUGUCUCUAUUGAUUCUGCUUGUCUCGAAUAUAGUAUAGCUCUAUUUAUAACCCGUACUCAACCACUCCAUGCAGGGUUUACAGUUUUUUUCCCCUUACCUGCUACAUUCUUGGAAUAUUCGGGGGCACUAUGGUACAAUCAAGCGUAUUUACAUAAUUACAACUCUACCCCGGGCAGUUAAAGUAGGCCCUGACGUCCAGUCACGGUCUUCGGUAGACCCCGAGAUUCCGCCGAAGGCUUCUCAGCUAUCAGCCGGAGUUCACCACGGGCUUCGCUUCCCCACUUCAGCGCCAUGAGUCGAUCUUCGGUCCCAGUCCGAAGACGCGCUGCUACCUUCGCCCAUUCCGGUUAGCAAAACUGCUGGUGUAGUCUUCGGCUUCCGACCGAAGGCCCGCUGUCGCCUUCAUCGACACGGGUAGCUGGGACCGCAGGCACACCUUUGGUCUUUGACCGAAGGUACUUCGUGAUCUUCGCCUGCACUCCCUGAAACACCCUUGUAAUCACCCGAAUGCGUAGCCUCCGGUAGACUUCUAGUAUCCUACGAAGGGGGAGGGCGAGAGAUCAUCCCCAACAGUAGCCCCCUACGGGUAAGGUUCAUCUUCAAUGGGCCGAACUUGUAGACUUCAAGAUGUGUCUCAAUGCCGUCCCCUUCGGCCCGUCAAAGGUUUACGGGGGCGGAUGCACUUCGGGAAAUUGCCGGAUGAAGUUUUUUUUUGGUAUGACCAUGCUGCCCCUGAGUAACUAUUUCGUUCACAUGCAUUAAAUGCCUUCGAUGUAUACCGAGACGUCAUUUCCCACUUCGAUUUGAAUUCCGACGCGCCUCGUUUUAACCGCCACCCUCUUUGCUAUAAAUACUGGUCCACAAUUGUUUCUUUUUACCGCGCGCCACUGCUCGAGCUACUGCUCUCAUAUGAAGCUCCUCACUCUCUCCACCGAGUCUUUCCCCGUCCAAGACUUUUCAGGUCAGCUCGCGCCGAAGGCUAGGUCUACUCGCCCAAAGACAUAUUGGAUUGGGCAGUCGAAGGUGGAUGAUGAAGUGCUGGUCAGUCUCGUGAAAGAGGGAUUGAUCAGCGACGUCUCAAAAGUUAGGCUCCCCGGGAACCAGGAGACACCGGAGCCUUCUAACGACGAAGCUGUUGUUUUCAUUGACUAUUUUCGAGCAGGCCUUCACUUGCCCUGCGAUGACAUGGUUGCCAAGGUGCUGAAAUUAUUCGAAGUGUACCUGCACCAGCUUACACACAACGCCAUUGUGAGGCUGGGGCUAUUUGCCUGGUCUGCUCGGUCUGAGGGAGCAAAAGCAUCGGUCAGGGCCUUCGCUGCUGCUCACGGGCUUCAUCAUCAGCCAAAGCCAGUGUUCGCCCGGAGGGUCCAGAGCGAGGCGCAUUAUGGGUGCCUAAACUUCGCUUACCGCGCUGGGUUGUCCACGCCUGCCAUCGUGUACAAAAAUAAAUGGCCGAAGGACUAGAUGCAGUGGUGGUUCUACCACAAAGUAGAUCAACAGGAAUUUCUUGUUUUGAAAUGCGAGGAGGUGAAGGGGAAUCGUGCUCCGGACGUGCAAUUGAAAGCGUCCCAGCGGACUGCUCUCGAGGCCUUCGCCAGGUGUGCAAAGUAUUUAUCCACUCGGGACCUCGUAGAGGAGUUUAUAGCCGUCGGAGUGUGUCCCUUUAGCCGGGACUGGAGCAUCCCGAAGUUUGGGGAGAAAGGGCCUGAGGGGCUCUGCCGUCCCCAUCCUUCCGUGCACGGCUUCACGGGUACACAUUCAUUUACUAUUAUUAAUGUUUCUGGAUUUAACUUCGCUGUCAUUUGCUUACGUUUCCUGAUCUUCGCCAGACUUGUCGGUGUUUGAAGUCGAAACAAAAGCUACAAUGCUUGUUCGGAAGUUUACGCUGGGCGAAGCCCAGUUGUGUGCUGAACAAGGUCUUGGCCGAAGGCUCAAUCGAGUCUUGGAAUACAGGGGCCUUUCCUACUGAGAGAGGUUGAAGAUUAGUGCGCUCUUGCAGGGUCUUGGAGAGGGCUCCCUGGCGGAAGUCAUCAGUGAAGAGGUUCCCACUGGCGCCUCGAAAAAGCGAAGACAGCCCGAACACUCGCCGCGAGGAGGCCGGAAGAAGAAGGCAUUGACCCUUCGGAAAAGGCCGCGCGAGGUUGCCACCGAGGACGCUCGCGAAGAGGCAUCUCCAGAGGGUGCGGUUGCACCACGCGCCGUGCCUUUAAGGCAAGAGGUGCCGGAGGGCACCCAGGAAUCCCGUCCCUCUCUGAAAUUGGGGUUCUGCUCUUGCGUGGACCUUCCCACGCUAAUCCUAUGCGAUGACGAGGAGGACCUUGCAGAGACACGAACUAUCGUCGAGACUACUGCCAGGGAAGCCGAGGUCGAAGGGGGUGACAAUACUGAAGCUGCAGCCUACUCUUCACCCUCAUCGUCCUUGAGCUCAUCCUCUGGUACUGAGGAAUCGACUCCCAGUGCGCCUCACCAUGGUGGGAAAGGGCUGAUGAGCCACGGCGGGCUGAUUGACGCGAAGGCCAUCGAGCCUGAGGCGUUCAAGGUUUUUUCCUUUGAACCAAGCUCUGGGGAGGUCAAUGAUGCGAAGAAGAUUUUUAGUACCUUUGUCCUGCCCGAGCUUGAGAUUUCACUCGCCCGUAAGCCUGUCGCCGAACUUCUCGACGCCUCCGACAUGGCAAUUAUGAAGGUAUAUUAGUGUGUUCUAUUAUGUUUGUAUUUCCUUGUCAUUUUAUUACUCGCUCUCAUAUUUGCGCGGCAUCCCAGGCUAUGCUCAUCUCGCGGGCUCAACGCAGACAGGCGGAAAAUUACAAAGCCCGCGCCCGAAACGCGGAGGUGCAAAUAGAUAUGCUGCAAAAGCGUGCUGAAAGAGCCGAAGGACUCAAACACGAACUUGCGCGUAGAGCAAGGGAAGACGAGUCACGCUUGAAGCAACUCGAGAAGGAACCUAGCGCCCUAUGCUCGGAGAAACAGGGCGCUGAAGAGGAGGUCAAGUGCUUGCGCCAAAACUUGCAAUUAUCCGAAGCGUAAGUCUCUGACCUGCCAGUGCUUUGCACCGCAGACACCGCUAAAGCACAGCGGUUACAAGAAGAGCUGAACGAGAUGAGGGCUCUGUCCGAAGAUGCCUUAACUGCGCUUUGGGAGCUGGAGCCGAAGGCCGUCGCCGCAUGCGAAGCCAUCAGCAGCACCUUUGAAGGAAUCAGUGCUUCGGCCACGCCCCCAGCACUCGAUAUUGUCGGGCUGGGCGGUCUUAUAAGUUGGAUUAAUGAAACCAGCUGGAGCCUUCUCCCAGCAGCUCAGUUAUAUGGCGACUUCUGCGCGAUGGUCUCAGCCCGAAGCCUUGUCCAAUCAAUUGAGAUGACAGGCUGGGACCAUCACACUGCACUCCAGAAGCACACCUUCCGAUACCCAACGAACAUGUCUACUUCGGCCGUGUCGAGGGUCGAAGGCCACUGCCCGAUCGUUCACUAUCAAUUAUUGGUGCAGACACGGUCGGGAUCUCACGCUCCGGGAGGCAGAGAUGAAUCACCAACCAGUACGUUUCUUCAUACUACCAGUUUUGUUUAAUUUUUCUAAUCGUGUGCGCUUUGAAGAAAUAUUUCUCUUGCAGGCGAAGGCGACGGACGAUCCUUUGGCUAAGGCUACGACCGCGACGGCUGAAGAGACUGGGAAGGUCCCCCCUUCAGACACUGCGCAGGUAGCCGAAGAGGCUGUUCCCAUUACUAUGAUGAGGGAUAAUUUUUUUAGUCUUGGUCUUGCUGGGACUCCUUUCACUGCCACCAUCCAGAUAUUGAGUUCGAGCGGUAUUGGGAAGCGAAGUGUAGAGCAUACGAUGCGAUGAAUAAUAGGACCAAAGCAUUUUGGAAAUCUUUUAGCCCUUCGGCUUUGGUUACCCGCAGAGCUGAGCGCAACUCGCGCCGAAUUGCCCGCGGAGACGUCAAACCUUCACCUACGCUCAUUGAACCGAAGGUCGAGCCCGAAGACGACGACGGACUCCCGCCUCGCCAGCCUCAGCUUUGCUACUGCUGUGGGCCCUCUUCGCAGCUGGUUCAACACACCGAAGGUGAGGGCCCCCUUCAUGCAUCUCCGUCGGCUUCG
This is an RNA transcript of Phragmites australis (common reed), 7376 nucleotides long. RefSeq lists it as uncharacterized. The transcript has 4 exons. Lineage: Eukaryota; Viridiplantae; Streptophyta; Magnoliopsida; Poales; Poaceae. The record is from RefSeq and is a predicted model, not a curated record.